UGUAUGAGUACCCAAGAUCUAUCCAGCGAAUAACCGAUGUGGGACUAAACAAACGCCCGCACGAGUCCUCACACGCACUUAUUAUCUGAUUUGAUGCCCAUCCAUAUUUGCUUCGAGCCUAGUGAAACCAAAUUGGACCGGUAUCCUUAGGACCUCAAGAAUGACCACUUCACUCGACUGCAUCUUGGGCAAGAUAUUAAGUGGCGGACUAAACUUUAUCAUGAUAUUUGAUACAUAAUAUGUUGCUUUUUGUGAGCAUGAUAUGAGAGGUAUUUACCAAAUUGGUUAUUUGUUAGUUCUAUUUGAUUGGAACUAUAGUGCAUUGCAAUGUUGGGGAACUUUAUUGGUAAUAGCAAAAAUUUGACAUUAGAUGUUGUUUGCCAAAACUAGCUCAUAUAUACAGACAUGCAAGCUGUCAAAACAUAAAAGUGAAAUGGUUCUGAAAGACACCAUGGAGCAUACAUUACAAGAAUGAUAAAGUGCUUAUGAAGUACCCUGAGAUUGCGGAAAUGGAGAAGAUGCCUAAAAUGUUGUUAACUGAAAUGUGCUAUGAGUACUGACUUAGGAAAGAAAUUUGACUGCAAGUACAGAAGUAAACAGAGCACUCCAGAGAUGCUAGGAUUUGCGUCAUUUUUUUCCCAGUUCAAGUAUGGAAGGUUAUGGAAGAAAUUAUGUUAAGUUGGA
RNAcentral lists this long non-coding RNA (684 nucleotides) under Phoenix dactylifera (date palm). RNAcentral describes it as "long non-coding RNA (PDAC_LNC019485)". Lineage: Eukaryota; Viridiplantae; Streptophyta; Magnoliopsida; Arecales; Arecaceae. The record is from RNAcentral.